This 492-nucleotide ribosomal RNA is filed under the name uncultured bacterium. RNAcentral's name for it is "partial 16S ribosomal RNA". It matches the Rfam family "Bacterial small subunit ribosomal RNA", at positions 29 to 507 of the family's 1533-position model. The record is from RNAcentral.
AGUGAACGCUGGCGGUAGGCCUAACACAUGCAAGUCGAACGGCAGCACAGUAAGAGCUUGCUCUUACGGGUGGCGAGUGGCGGACGGGUGAGGAAUACAUCGGAAUCUACUUUUUCGUGGGGGAUAACGUAGGGAAACUUACGCUAAUACCGCAUACGACCUACGGGUGAAAGCAGGGGAUCUUCGGACCUUGCGCGAUUGAAUGAGCCGCUGUCGGAUUAGCUAGUUGGCGGGGUAAAGGCCCACCAAGGCGACGAUCCGUAGCUGGUCUGAGAGGAUGAUCAGCCACACUGGAACUGGGACACGGUCCAGACUCCUACGGGAGGCAGCAGUGGGGAAUAUUGGACAAUGGGCGCAAGCCUGAUCCAGCCAUACCGCGUGGGUGAAGAAGGCCUUCGGGUUGUAAAGCCCUUUUGUUGGGAAAGAAAAGCAGCAGGUUAAUACCCCGCUGUUCUGACGGUACCCAAAGAAUAAGCACCGGCUAACUUCGUG